Long non-coding RNA from Manihot esculenta (cassava), 342 nucleotides. RefSeq lists it as uncharacterized. The record is from RefSeq and is a predicted model, not a curated record. Lineage: Eukaryota; Viridiplantae; Streptophyta; Magnoliopsida; Malpighiales; Euphorbiaceae. The transcript has 2 exons.
AAUAAUCUAUUGCUGCCAUCAAAUCGAUUAUUUUUUUAUUCCUUUAAAUGGAAGACGACCGUCCUUUUUUCCUCAAAUUUUUAUGAAUUCCUUUCAUCCCGUUUUGAAUGGUAUAAAUACUUUCUUUUAAGUUAUAUCGGCAAACCGAGCUUCAAGAUAAGGGAUUGUGAUAGAUGGAUUCUGGAUAAAUCUCAAGAGAUGUGGGAACGAUGAAGCUUCGAUUCUAAAUCUCUUGUUCUCGAAUGUUUCAGGUUUAUGGUUGUCGGUCGUGGGCUUAUCUCUUGUGGGUUGAGAUAGUUUUAAGGUUUUGUAUUGCUUAGUGAAUUGGGCCUUCUAUGUUUA